Molecule: long non-coding RNA, 257 nt
Filed under: Pongo abelii (Sumatran orangutan)
Lineage: Eukaryota; Metazoa; Chordata; Mammalia; Primates; Hominidae
Description: lincRNA
Source: RNAcentral
AUACCGAUUUCCCGCAGGAACAAUGGCGCUGUCUUCAGUGGCACAGCGGAGCAGUUCUGUGAAGAUGCAAAGAUACACGAAAAAAAUUCCAGAACAUCUGGGAGAAUAUUUAAUGGAAAAUCGCUUGGUUAAAACCUGACACUUAACAGGGCUAGUGCCACGAGGUUUACUUGACUGUUGUGUGAAAAGCUGAUAAGAAAACCAUCCAGAAAACAGCUCUUCGUUUUACAAACAUGAAAAUAAAACAUGUAAUUUUG